Molecule: ribosomal RNA, 357 nt
Filed under: uncultured Spirochaetaceae bacterium
Lineage: Bacteria; Pseudomonadati; Spirochaetota; Spirochaetia; Spirochaetales; Spirochaetaceae
Description: bacterial SSU rRNA
Rfam family: Bacterial small subunit ribosomal RNA
Source: RNAcentral
GUACCCUGUACAGGUGCUGCAUGGCUGUCGUCAGCUCGUGCCGUGAGGUGUUGGGUUAACGUCCCGCAACGAGCGCAACCCUACUGCCAGUUACUAACAGGUAACGCUGAGGACUCUGGCGGAACUGCCGGUGACAAACCGGAGGAAGGUGGGAUGACGUCAAGUCAUCAUGGCCCCUAUGUCCAGGGCUACACACGUGCUACAAUGGGCGAUACAGGGUGACGCGAAGCCGCGAGGUGGAGCAAAUCGCAGAAAAUCGCUCUCAGUUCGGAUUGGAGUCUGAAACCCGACUCCAUGAAGGUGGAAUCGCUAGUAAUCGCGCAUCAGCAUGGCGCGGUGAAUACGUUCCCGGGCCUU